RNAcentral lists this ribosomal RNA (912 nucleotides) under uncultured archaeon. Its description in RNAcentral is "bacterial SSU rRNA". It matches the Rfam family "Archaeal small subunit ribosomal RNA", at positions 1 to 922 of the family's 1478-position model. The record is from RNAcentral.
UUCCGGUUGAUCCUGCCGGACCUGAUUGCUACCGGAUUGGUACUAAGCCAUGCGAGUAAGUGUAGCAAUACACUGCAGACGGCUCAGUAACACGUGGUCAAGCUAACCUAUGGACGUGGAUAACCUCGGGAAACUGAGAAUAAACCGCGAUAGAUCAUGAUGCCUGGAAUGGCUCAUGGUCGAAAUAGUUUACUGCCGUAGGAUGCGACUGCGGCCUAUCAGUUUGUUGGUGAGGUAAUGGCCCACCAAGACUAUUACAGGUACGGGCUCUGAGAGGAGAAGCCCGGAGAUGGGUACUGAGACACGGACCCAGGCCCUAUGGGGCGCAGCAGGCGAGAAACCUUAGCAAUGUGCGAAAGCACGACUGGGUUAGUCCGAGUGAUUCCUGCUAAAGGAAUCUUUUGCCGGUCCUAAAAGCACCGGUGAAUAAGGGGUGGGCAAGUCUGGUGUCAGCCGCCGCGGUAAUACCAGCACCUCGAGUGAUCAGGACGUUUAUUGGGCCUAAAGCAUCCGUAGCUGGCUUUGCAAGUCUCCGGUUAAAUCAACCUGCUCAACAGAUUGGCCGCUGGAGAUACUACAAGGCUAGGGAGUGGGAGAGGCAGACGGUAUUCGGGGGGUAGGGGUAAAAUCCUCUGAUCCUCUGAGGACCACCAGUGGCGAAGGCGGUCUGCCAGAACACGUUCGACAGUGAGGGAUGAAAGCUGGGGGAGCAAACCGGAUUAGAUACCCGGGUAGUCCCAGCUGUAAACGAUGCAAACUCGGUGAAGCAUUGGCUUAAUGCUAAUGCUGUGCCGCAGGGAAGCCGUUAAGUUUGCCGCCUGGGAAGUACGGUCGCAAGAUUGAAACUUAAAGGAAUUGGCGGGGGAGCACCACAAGGGGUGAAGCCUGCGGUUCAAUUGGAUCAACGCCGGA